This 1045-nucleotide long non-coding RNA is filed under the name Nicotiana benthamiana. RNAcentral's name for it is "long non-coding RNA (NBEN_LNC013344)". The record is from RNAcentral. Lineage: Eukaryota; Viridiplantae; Streptophyta; Magnoliopsida; Solanales; Solanaceae.
ACUAUUUCAAAGAUCAUUAUGACUAAAGCCACAAACUACAAUUUCACAAGGAUGCUAACAUGUUUUAUAGGUGAAUUUCAGCCAAAAAUCUUCAACUAAUUGAUUGAACAAAAAAUCUGAAACCCACCUCUAAAGUAGAAUUAAUAAACCCAAACAAAACACAAGCUACGAAUCAGAAAUUUCAAGAUAGACAAUAAUCAAUGAACCCAAAUGUCCGUUUCUACAAUAUUAUACAUAGUCAUUAACAUUGUGACAAAACCAAAACCUGACUGAAACAACAUUCGCACACCAUUGUGCAAGGUAAAAAUUGAGAUGAAAUUCAUUCUAUAUCAAAAUACACAAUGAAGAAUCACAACAAAUUAAUGAGUAAUGAGGUUUAGCAAUGGACCUCAAACCGAUGAACUAUGACGGAACUUGAACUGAAAAUCGAUGAUAGUACCUCGAUGUGCGACUGAAACUGAAACUCAGACAACGAUUUCAACAAAGAACCAAUAGAAACAAUCAUCCAAACUCAAUUGGAAAACCCGAAACUCGCCGGAAAACUCGAAUUACACCAGAACUUGGACCUCUCGCCUUUCAUUUCAUUUCGUUACUGCCCUUUACGCUAUGUGUUCUAUUUCUUUUUUUUUUCAAACCCUAGAAACCCGUCCAUUUAUAUUUGUGUGUGCGUCUAUUUGUGAAGCUAAGACUCCAUAGAAACGGAUGGGAAUAGAGCUUUUGUUGGUUCUAUUUUUGUUAGAGAAGAAAGAUUUUAGGUGGUGUUAUGAUUUGUGGGUGUUCUGCGGUAGAAAAAGGUCCGAAGGAUCUAGGGAUCAUUGGUUUCAGGGGUGGACAUCGGGUUUGGGGCCAGGGAUUUUUGGUUUUGUUGUUGAUGAAGGAGAUCGAUGGAGGAGGGUCUGUGUUUUUGUUACAAUAGGAGAGAGCUAGGGUCGUUUAGAGAAGACGACGCGCGCUCGCGCGGGGGGUGGAGGGUGGGGGAGGGCUCUUUUUGAUGUCAGUGGCGCUGCCUUCAACGUAUUUUUUGUGUGUAUUUUUCAUCAUCCCC